This 749-nucleotide ribosomal RNA is filed under the name uncultured bacterium. RNAcentral's name for it is "bacterial SSU rRNA". It matches the Rfam family "Bacterial small subunit ribosomal RNA", at positions 125 to 890 of the family's 1533-position model. The record is from RNAcentral.
CCUGCCUCAAAGAGGGGGACAACAGUUGGAAACGACUGCUAAUACCGCAUAAGCCCACGACCCGGCAUCGGGUUGAGGGAAAAGGAGUAAUCCGCUUUGAGAUGGCCUCGCGUCCGAUUAGCUAGUUGGUGAGGUAACGGCCCACCAAGGCGACGAUCGGUAGCCGGACUGAGAGGUUGAACGGCCACAUUGGGACUGAGACACGGCCCAGACUCCUACGGGAGGCAGCAGUGGGGAAUAUUGCACAAUGGGGGAAACCCUGAUGCAGCGACGCCGCGUGGAGGAAGAAGGUCUUCGGAUUGUAAACUCCUGUUGUUGGGGAAGAUAAUGACGGUACCCAACAAGGAAGUGACGGCUAACUACGUGCCAGCAGCCGCGGUAAAACGUAGGUCACAAGCGUUGUCCGGAAUUACUGGGUGUAAAGGGAGCGCAGGCGGGAAGACAAGUUGGAAGUGAAAUCCAUGGGCUCAACCCAUGAACUGCUUUCAAAACUGUUUUUCUUGAGUAGUGCAGAGGUAGGCGGAAUUCCCGGUGUAGCGGUGGAAUGCGUAGAUAUCGGGAGGAACACCAGUGGCGAAGGCGGCCUACUGGGCACCAACUGACGCUGAGGCUCGAAAGUGUGGGUAGCAAACAGGAUUAGAUACCCUGGUAGUCCACACCGUAAACGAUGAUUACUAGGUGUUGGAGGAUUGACCCCUUCAGUGCCGCAGUUAACACAAUAAGUAAUCCACCUGGGGAGUACGACCGCA